GACAGUGUCAUGGUCUGGAGGAUAAGCAAUUUCUGCCUUUCUGUCUCUCGUUCUCUCUCUCUCUCUCUCCCACGCCCCUCGGAGGAAGAAACACCUGAGCCUCAUUACUAUGGCCAGCAUUUAAGCCAGGGAGUGACUGCAGUUCUUCGCUGGAUCUUUAGUCCCUGGACUGUUUCCUGUGUGGUGAGUGUUGGAGAAAGAGACUGGUCGCAUGUGUGGAUUGUUUGAAGAAGAAGAAGUGCUUUUCCCCUGGAUUUCCCUGGAGCCCUGUCCCCUCACCUUUUUCCUGCGUGUGGGUCCUCCGUAACAGACAGGCACGGAGAUGGAGACAUGACGAGGAGACACGGCUGAUAGGGAAGACCGAGUGAACAUGGAGCACACAGACAAGAGUAACUAAACAUGAAACGUGGAACACAGGAUGGCAAGCUAAUAGAAACCUAAAGACUAGAACUGAGAAUAUAACAUACGCAGGAAACAAUAAUGAGAAUCAAAACCAUGAACAACAAUGAUCAAGGAAUGUAAGGAAGUCACUAUAAAUAUAUUUAUUUUCUUUGUAAUUAAGAUGCAGGCCUGAGUUUCUGAACUUUUUGUUGCUGUUUUUUUUAGUAUUUGUGUACUUUUCACAUAGCAGUACAAACAUGAUUUCACUGAAUAUGACUGUAUAUUAAACAGAAUAUAAAGCAUUUAAAAUGAGGUCAGCCUUGAAUGUCUGUACCUGUAAUACCGACCCACACAAUGAUGGUGAGGAACAUUUUG
Oreochromis niloticus (Nile tilapia) is the source of this 756-nucleotide long non-coding RNA. RefSeq lists it as uncharacterized. The transcript is spliced from 3 exons. The record is from RefSeq and is a predicted model, not a curated record. NCBI's taxonomy places the organism in Eukaryota, Metazoa, Chordata, Actinopteri, Cichliformes, Cichlidae.